Molecule: ribosomal RNA, 931 nt
Filed under: uncultured bacterium
Lineage: Bacteria
Description: bacterial SSU rRNA
Rfam family: Bacterial small subunit ribosomal RNA
Source: RNAcentral
ACGCUGGCGGCAGGCUUAACACAUGCAAGUCGAACGGUAACAGGGAUUAGCUUGCUAAUUUGCUGACGAGUGGCGGACGGGUGAGUAAUGCUUGGGAAUCUGGCUUAUGGAGGGGGAUAACUACGGGAAACUGUAGCUAAUACCGCGUAAAAUCUUCGGAUUAAAGGGUGGGACUUUCGAGCCACCUGCCAUAAGAUGAGCCCAAGUGGGAUUAGGUAGUUGGUUAGGUAAAGGCUGACCAAGCCGACGAUCUCUAGCUGGUCUGAGAGGAUGACCAGCCACACUGGAACUGAGACACGGUCCAGACUCCUACGGGAGGCAGCAGUGGGGAAUAUUGCACAAUGGGGGGAACCCUGAUGCAGCCAUGCCGCGUGAAUGAAGAAGGCCUUCGGGUUGUAAAGUUCUUUCGGUGACGAGGAAGGUUGAUAGGUUAAUAGCCUAUCAAAUUGACGUUAAUCACAGAAGAAGCACCGGCUAACUCCGUGCCAGCAGCCGCGGUAAUACGGGGGGUGCGAGCGUUAAUCGGAAUAACUGGGCGUAAAGGGCACGCAGGCGGUGACUUAAGUGAGAUGUGAAAGCCCCGGGCUUAACCUGGGAAUUGCAUUUCAUACUGGGUCGCUAGAGUACUUUAGGGAGGGGUAGAAUUCCACGUGUAGCGGUGAAAUGCGUAGAGAUGUGGAGGAAUACCGAAGGCGAAGGCAGCCCCUUGGGAAUGUACUGACGCUCAUGUGCGAAAGCGUGGGGAGCAAACAGGAUUAGAUACCCUGGUAGUCCACGCUGUAAACGAUGUCGAUUUGGGGAUUGGGCUUUGAGCUUGGUGCCCGUAGCUAACGUGAUAAAUCGACCGCCUGGGGAGUACGGCCGCAAGGUUAAAACUCAAAUGAAUUGACGGGGGCCCGCACAAGCGGUGGAGCAUGUGGUUUAAUUCGAU